Molecule: ribosomal RNA, 402 nt
Filed under: uncultured prokaryote
Description: bacterial SSU rRNA
Rfam family: Bacterial small subunit ribosomal RNA
Source: RNAcentral
UAGGGAAUAUUCCGCAAUGGGCGAAAGCCUGACGGAGCAACGCCGCGUGAGUGAAGAAGAUCUUCGGAUUGUAUAGCUCUGUCAACAGGGACGAUAAUGACGGUACCUGUGGAGGAAGCCACGGCAAACUACGUGCCAGCAGCCGCGGUAAUACGUAGGUGGCAAGCGUUGUCCGGAAUAACUGGGCGUAAAGCGCAUGUAGACGGCAUAGCAAGCCAAGUGUGAAAUUUCGGGGCUUAACCUCUAAACUGCGCUUGGAACUGCUGAGCUAGAGUGCAGGAGAGGCAAGUGGAAUUCCCCGUGUAGCAGUGAAAUGCGUAGAUAUUGGGAGGAACACCAGUGGCGAAGGCGACUUGCUGGACUGAAACUGACGUUGAGAUGCGAAAGCUAGGGGAGCAAACG